This 494-nucleotide ribosomal RNA is filed under the name uncultured bacterium. RNAcentral's name for it is "partial 16S ribosomal RNA". It matches the Rfam family "Bacterial small subunit ribosomal RNA", at positions 28 to 507 of the family's 1533-position model. The record is from RNAcentral.
GACGAACGCUGGCGGCGCGCUUAACACAUGCAAGUCGAACGGAAAGGCCUGCUUUCCCUUGUGGAUUGCGGGUACUCGAGUGGCGAACGGGUGAGUAACACGUGAGUGAUCUGCCCCCAACUUGGGUAUAAGCCUGGGAAACUGGGUCUAAUUCCCGAUAGGACUGCAGGGUGGUGCCUGUGGUGGAAAACGAUUUUCUAGUGGUUGGGGAUGAGCUCGCGGCCUAUCAGCUGGUUGGUGGGGUAAUGGCCUGCCAAGGCGGCGACGGGUAGCCGGGCUGAGAGGGUGGACGGCCACAUUGAGACUGAGAUACGGCCCAGACUCCGACGGGAGGCAGCAGUGGGGAAGAUUGGACGAUGGGCGGAAGCCUGAUGCAGCGACGCCGCGUGGGGGAUGACAGGCUUCGGGUGGUAAGCUCCUUUCGACCGCGAGGAAGCCACCUGGUUGGAAGGGUGGUGACGGUAGUGGUAGAAGAAGCACCGGCUAACUACGUG